This 492-nucleotide ribosomal RNA is filed under the name uncultured bacterium. RNAcentral's name for it is "partial 16S ribosomal RNA". It matches the Rfam family "Bacterial small subunit ribosomal RNA", at positions 29 to 507 of the family's 1533-position model. The record is from RNAcentral.
AGUGAACGCUGGCGGUAGGCCUAACACAUGCAAGUCGAACGGCAGCACAGUAAGAGCUUGCUCUUACGGGUGGCGAGUGGCGGACGGGUGAGGAAUACAUCGGAAUCUACUUUUUCGUGGGGGAUAACGUAGGGAAACUUACGCUAAUACCGCAUACGACCUACGGGUGAAAGCAGGGGAUCUUCGGACCUUGCGCGAUUGAAUGAGCCGAUUUCGGAUUAGCUAGUUGGCGGGGUAAAGGCCCACCAAGGCGACGAUCCGUAGCUGGUCUGAGAGGAUGAUCAGCCACACUGGAACUGAGACACGGUCCAGACUCCUACGGGAGGCAGCAGUGGGGAAUAUUGGACAAUGGGCGCAAGCCUGAUCCAGCCAUACCGCGUGAGUGAAGAAGGCCUUCGGGUUGUAAAGCCCUUUUGUUGGGAAAGAACAGCAGCAGAUUAAUACCCCGCUGUUCUGACGGUACCCAAAGAAUAAGCACCGGCUAACUUCGUG